RNAcentral lists this ribosomal RNA (363 nucleotides) under uncultured bacterium. RNAcentral's name for it is "bacterial SSU rRNA". It matches the Rfam family "Bacterial small subunit ribosomal RNA", at positions 29 to 416 of the family's 1533-position model. The record is from RNAcentral.
AACGAACGCUGGCGGCAGGCCUAACACAUGCAAGUCGAACGCCCGUAGCAAUACGGGAGUGGCAGACGGGUGAGUAACGCGUGGGAACGUGCCCUUCGGUUCGGAAUAACUCAGGGAAACUUGAGCUAAUACCGGAUACGUCCGUAAGGAGAAAGAUUUAUCGCCGAAGGAUCGGCCCGCGUCGGAUUAGCUAGUUGGUGAGGUAACGGCCCACCAAGGCGACGAUCCGUAGCUGGUCUGAGAGGANGAUCAGCCACACUGGGACUGAGACACGGCCCAGACUCCUACAGGAGGCAGCAGUGGGGAAUAUUGGACAAUGGGCGGAAAGCCUGAUCCAGCCAUGCCGCGUGAGUGAAGAAGGCC